This is a non-coding RNA of Pelodiscus sinensis (Chinese soft-shelled turtle), 1250 nucleotides long. The record is from RefSeq and is a predicted model, not a curated record. Lineage: Eukaryota; Metazoa; Chordata; Testudines; Trionychidae.
AACAAAGGCAAUGGUUUUGGAAAUGUAUUAACUUUCGUUCUAAGAUCCACCAUGAUCUUUUAGUCUGACCUCCUGUAUAACAUAGUUCAUAGGAUUUCAUUCAGUAAUUCCUGCUUCAAACUCAAUAACUUCUGGCUGAGCUAGAGCACAUCAUGUUGAAAGAUAAGAUUUCGAUUUAAAGACUUCGAGUGACAGAGAAUCUACGGCACCUGUAGGCUCCUGGCAACCAGAGUCAGCAACACAGAAAUCAUCAUGUAAAGAACUGGUCCUGACUGCACUUCCAUUCUUGGGUCAGGAAACAUUGUAUCCAUGAGAUGCUGGUGGACACUUUGGUAAUGUUUCCUGACGUACUGAAGACAAGAGGAUGACAAUACAGACAUGGAAGUCUCGGACUGUCUUUGAUGUGGCUUGAUAUAGCUGCUGCUGCCCCCUAUGGAGACUAGCACUUCUGGAACAAAGCCAUAAGCAAAGACUCAUGGGAUUCUAUCAUCAUGAUAGAGACCUGAAAUGACCAGCACUGGUUCCAGAACAUUCACAUGAGGCAAGUUACAUAUAUGGAGCUCUCUGAGCUGCUUGCCCCAGCUCUCCAGUAUGAAGGCACACACUUGAGGGAAGCCAUGCUGGUCAGAAGUGGGUUACUAUAACCACCUGGAAGUUGGACACCUCAAACAGAUGAGGCACCAAUCUGGGAUUUUCUAACAGGAAGCGCCAGGAUCCAGAACCUCUGAAACAGAAGGAAGAGAUCAAGGAAUGACCUCUUCAGUAUGCAGAUGGAGAUGCUGGAGCCAUCCAGGCUCAGAAGCAGAUUGCAGUUUAGAGUUUGCUAGAGUAACCCUUCUGCCAGGUGGCACCAGCAACAACCAGGGCUGCACCCAAUAUCUAGGGUUCCUUUCCAUCGAUACAGUUAGAAUUGGCUCUGGCCUCCACCCAGUAACCUGGGAAAUUUAUACACCGCUUUUGGGUGCCUCUGAGAGGUGCUACCUCCUUACUCACAAGCAGACUCUGGGUGCACAAAAUAAACUUUUAAUAAAGAGAGGGAAGUAACUCCAGAGCAAGACAUAUGAUUUGAUGUUGCCUUCUCUAACAAAGGUAAUAUCGAAUAAUACAAUAAUCUAUACUAGUGAUCACCAACCAGUAGAUCCCGAUCUACUAGUAGAUCUUGGAGCCUCUGACAGGUGAUCCUGACUGGUUUGGCCAGGAAGCUAUGAAGCACUAGCACUUCAGUUUACCCUCCACCCACUGUCCUGCUG